This 253-nucleotide ribosomal RNA is filed under the name uncultured bacterium. RNAcentral's name for it is "partial 16S ribosomal RNA". It matches the Rfam family "Bacterial small subunit ribosomal RNA", at positions 524 to 776 of the family's 1533-position model. The record is from RNAcentral.
UACGGAGGGUGCAAGCGUUAUCCGGAUUUACUGGGUUUAAAGGGUGCGUAGGCGGGCAGGUAAGUCCGUGGUGAAAUCCCCGAGCUUAACUCGGGAACUGCCAUGGAUACUAUUUGUCUUGAAUAUUGUGGAGGUAAGCGGAAUAUGUCAUGUAGCGGUGAAAUGCUUAGAUAUGACAUAGAACACCAAUUGCGAAGGCAGCUUACUACACAGUUAUUGACGCUGAGGCACGAAAGCGUGGGGAUCAAACAGG